AGCAUAGAGGUGAAGCCAGAAGUUUACAUACACCGCCAAAACACACAGUUCAUUUUUUCCCUCACACUGAAGUCAAAUCAGACGAGAACGCUCCUGUUUCAGGUCAAAGGUUUACGAACACAAAAAAGUCCUUAAAGAAGGUCCGAAAGCCCAGUUGAUGAGGUUAUGGCUUUGGAAGCUUGUGAUGGGCUAACUGACAACAUGCGCCAGGUUGAGCAGUUGAAAAACUUGUGUGCAAGUAUGCGGAUCAUGGGACUCACACCACUCAGGAAAGAAGACAUGGGCUCUGUGUCCCAGAGAUUAUAUUGUGUUCUGGACCGAAAUGUGGGAAUCAACACCAGAACAAAAGUG
Syngnathoides biaculeatus (alligator pipefish) is the source of this 351-nucleotide long non-coding RNA. RefSeq lists it as uncharacterized. The record is from RefSeq and is a predicted model, not a curated record. The transcript is spliced from 3 exons. NCBI's taxonomy places the organism in Eukaryota, Metazoa, Chordata, Actinopteri, Syngnathiformes, Syngnathidae.